RNAcentral lists this long non-coding RNA (1181 nucleotides) under Homo sapiens (human). RNAcentral describes it as "long intergenic non-protein coding RNA 2128". The record is from RNAcentral. Lineage: Eukaryota; Metazoa; Chordata; Mammalia; Primates; Hominidae.
CAGUGCCCACUUUGUUCAUCUCUGCUCACUGGGGGAGCCAGGACACGGAUCCAGGUUUUCUGACUCCAGGUCUCAGGCUUGCUCCAUAGCGCCACCUGCUGGUGACGGCAAUCGGUAGGCACCCAAAUCAAGACUCAGAUUUCCUCAUCUCAGAAGUUGUCCACUUCUUCUCCGACCUCCACGGUAACUCGGAACCACACCGUGGAGUUAUCCCUGUGUCCUCUUUCUCGGAAGUUCCACAUCCAACCCCUCAGCAGGUCUCAGCGGCACUCUCACCACCUCCUCUGCUCUGUUCCUGUUUCUCUUGGAUGGUCGAAUGUUUCCUAAGGAGUGUCUGCUGCUUCACGCUUGCCCCCUGGAGUGGCAUCUAAAAGGUGCAGGAUACCCUACAACUAACAGGCAUGAUGCCAUCAAGACAUCUUGAGCCUGGCUACCUCCCGUGGCCUGUAUUUUGUCCACAGGAAACUCGCGCAGUCUCACUACAGCAAAUUGAGGUGGUAUGGGGUGCCUGCUGCUGCCUCUCUCUUCACCUUUCCACAGAGGGCUGCCCCAGCCUGACUCCCACUUCCAGAGUUUCUCCAGCCAGGAGAAUCCUGAAAUCUCUGUAAAUAAGCAAUCCAGGAGCCAGAGAAUCAUGGGAUCUCAUAUAAACAAAUCAUCAAGGAAAAACACAGCCAGAGUCUCCAUUUGGUAAACCUCCGUGACUGGGGAUCCCCGGCCACCCAGAAAGCAGUAUUGCCUGCCAUGCAUGUCAUCACUGAUUUUUACUGCUGCAGCAGACUCCGUCAGACCUGCCUGCUGCUUCAGCGAAUUGUUCAGUGCACACCACCAGCUACCUGCUGUAAGCAUUCACACUCCUCUACCUGCCUGGCAGCAUUUCUCAGCUGAACACAGGCCAGGCCAGAAGUGCCAGGGAUUUAAUGCCCUUAGAAGUAGCUCUCUACCAAUGACAAAUGGAGCUGGUGGAUACAUUCUCAGCUUCCUCCCCUCUCAGGUGGAACAGCCCUGAGAUGUGCUCUAUGCAAUCUCCCACAAGUCCCCAGCAGGCUCAAGCUCCCAUUGUCCAACCCUGGUAACCUGCUCAUUGACACCCCUGUCUUGCCUUCCCUUCCUGGCCUCACUUUCUCACUCUCUUACUGUUGCCUCCUGAGAUCGCAUCCAAAAUAAAUGACCUGCACCCA